Molecule: ribosomal RNA, 300 nt
Filed under: uncultured bacterium
Lineage: Bacteria
Description: bacterial SSU rRNA
Rfam family: Bacterial small subunit ribosomal RNA
Source: RNAcentral
UAUCCUACGGGGGGCAGCAGUGGGGAAUAUUGGACAAUGGGGGGAACCCUGAUCCAGCGACGCCGCGUGAGUGAAGAAGUAUUUCGGUAUGUAAAGCUCUAUCAGCAGGGAAGAAAGAAAUGACGGUACCUGACUAAGAAGCCCCGGCUAACUACGUGCCAGCAGCCGCGGUAAUACGUAGGGGGCGAGCGUUAUCCGGAUUUACUGGGUGUAAAGGGAGCGUAGACGGCUGGUCAAGUCUGAAGUGAAAGCCCGAGGCUUAACCCCGGAACGGCUUUGGAAACUGAGCAGCUAGAGUGC